Molecule: ribosomal RNA, 253 nt
Filed under: uncultured bacterium
Lineage: Bacteria
Description: partial 16S ribosomal RNA
Rfam family: Bacterial small subunit ribosomal RNA
Source: RNAcentral
UACGUAGGGGGCGAGCGUUGUCCGGAUUUAUUGGGCGUAAAGAGCGUGUAGGCGGCCAGGUAGGUCUGCUGUGAAAACUCGAGGCUCAACCUCGAGACGUCGGCGGAAACCAUCUGGCUAGAGUCCGGAAGAGGAGAGUGGAAUUCCUGGUGUAGCGGUGAAAUGCGCAGAUAUCAGGAAGAACACCCGUGGCGAAGGCGGCUCUCUGGGACGGUACUGACGCUGAGGGACGAAAGCUAGGGGAGCGAAUGGG